UACGGGGGGAGCAAGCGUUGUUCGGAUUUACUGGGCGUAAAGGGUGCGUAGGCGGUAGCACAAGUCAGUUGUGAAAUCUCCGGGCUUAACUCGGAAAGGUCAACUGAUACUGUGCGACUAGAGUGCAGAAGGGGCAACUGGAAUUCUCGGUGUAGCGGUGAAAUGCGUAGAUAUCGAGAGGAACACCUGCGGCGAAGGCGGGUUGCUGGGCUGACACUGACGCUGAGGCGCGAAAGCUAGGGGAGCGAACGGG
Molecule: ribosomal RNA, 253 nt
Filed under: uncultured bacterium
Lineage: Bacteria
Description: partial 16S ribosomal RNA
Rfam family: Bacterial small subunit ribosomal RNA
Source: RNAcentral